CUAAGGAGUCCGUAAGGACACACGGAAUGCACUUGAGUCUUGUUUAGUUUUGAGAGGGCUAUGUGGGGCCUUAGCUCAGCUGGGAGAGCGCCUGCUUUGCACGCAGGAGGUCAGCGGUUCGAUCCCGCUAGGCUCCAUUAUCUAGUUUGACUAGAUAAAGAACUUGUCCAUUGAAAAUUGAAUACCGAUAUCAAAUAGUAACAAGAAAAUAAACCGAAAACGCUGUGAAUAUUAAUGAGUUUAAGACUGAAAGGUCAAAAUUAA
RNAcentral lists this transfer RNA (264 nucleotides) under Streptococcus sanguinis. Its description in RNAcentral is "partial 16S-23S ribosomal RNA intergenic spacer". The stretch from base 65 to 137 matches the Rfam family "tRNA". Lineage: Bacteria; Bacillati; Bacillota; Bacilli; Lactobacillales; Streptococcaceae. The record is from RNAcentral.